AGGAUUUGCGCUGACCAAAGCUUCGGCAGAGGUCUUGUAGAUCCUAGCGGCGAACGGUCGCGUAACACGUAAGCAACCUGCCCUGAAGUGUGGGAUAGCCCUCCGAAAGGAGGAGUAAUACCGCAUGUGGAUACAAUGUCGCAUGGCGAUGUAUCUAAAGCAGCAAUGCGCUUCAGGAUGGGCUUGCGGCCUAUCAGCUAGUUGGUGGGGCAAAGGCCUACCAAGGCGACGACGGGUAGCUGGUCUGAGAGGAUGGUCAGCCGGAUUGGGACUGAGAUACGGCCCAGACCCCUACGGGGGGCAGCAAUUAGGAAUCUUGCGCAAUGGGCGAAAGCCUGACGCAGCGACGCCGCGUGAGCGAUGAAGUCUUUCGGGAUGUAAAGCUCUGUCCUGGGGGGACGAAGAAUGUGACGGUACCCCCAGAGAAAGCCCCGGCUAACUACGUGCCAGCAGCCGCGGUAAUACGUAGGGGGCGAGCGUUGUCCGAAUUUACUGGGCGUAAAGCGCGUGUAGGCGGUCCUUUAAGUCAGAUGUGAAAUCCUGUGGCUCAACCACAGAACUGCAUUUGAAACUGAAGGGCUUGAGUGUGGGAGAGGAAAGUGGAAUUCCUGGUGUAGCGGUGAAAUGCGUAGAUAUCAGGAGGAACACCCGUGGCGAAGGCGGCUUUCUGGCCCACCACUGACGCUGAGACGCGAAAGCUAGGGGAGCGAACGGGAUUAGAUACCCCGGUAGUCCUAGCCGUAAACGAUGGAUACUAGGUGUUAGAGGUAUCGACCCCUCUAGUGCCGUAGCUAACGCAUU
RNAcentral lists this ribosomal RNA (801 nucleotides) under uncultured bacterium. RNAcentral's name for it is "bacterial SSU rRNA". It matches the Rfam family "Bacterial small subunit ribosomal RNA", at positions 50 to 861 of the family's 1533-position model. The record is from RNAcentral.